Triticum aestivum (bread wheat) is the source of this 161-nucleotide non-coding RNA. NCBI's taxonomy places the organism in Eukaryota, Viridiplantae, Streptophyta, Magnoliopsida, Poales, Poaceae. The record is from Rfam.
CACAUACUCUCUCCCUUCGAAAAUACUUGUCAUCAAAAUGGAUAAAAAGGAUGUAUCAAGAACGAUGGAUAAAAAAGAUGUAUCUAGAACUAAAAUGCGUCUAGAUACAUCUUCUUUUAUUUAUUUUGAUGACAAGUAUUUCCGAACGGAGGGAGUACGUU